RNAcentral lists this ribosomal RNA (292 nucleotides) under uncultured bacterium. RNAcentral describes it as "partial 16S ribosomal RNA". The stretch from base 53 to 292 matches the Rfam family "Bacterial small subunit ribosomal RNA", at positions 100 to 333 of the family's 1533-position model. The record is from RNAcentral.
GAGCGANCUGAUUCAAGAUCCCUUCGGGNNUGAUUUGUUGGACGCUAGCGGCGGAUGGGUGAGUAACACGUGGGCAAUCUGCCCUAAAGACUGGGAUACCACUUGGAAACAGGUGCUAAUACCGGAUAACAACAUGAAUCGCAUGAUUCAAGUUUGAAAGGCGGCGUAAGCUGUCACUUUAGGAUGAGCCCGCGGCGCAUUAGCUAGUUGGUGGGGUAAAGGCCUACCAAGGCAAUGAUGCGUAGCCGAGUUGAGAGACUGAUCGGCCACAUUGGGACUGAGACACGGGCCA